This 2279-nucleotide long non-coding RNA is filed under the name Zea mays. RNAcentral describes it as "long non-coding RNA (ZMAY_LNC000011)". Lineage: Eukaryota; Viridiplantae; Streptophyta; Magnoliopsida; Poales; Poaceae. The record is from RNAcentral.
GUAACUAACCAAAAGAUAAGGGAAUAAAACUUCUGCAAAAACAACAGGGGAUAAAACCCUGAGUAUGGAAUUACUCAGCAAGACUUACCCGACUAAAGAAAAGACUCUCAAGGGUAUGCUAGCUGAUUGGGAAUCAAGGUAAAGUGUAUCAAUGAUCAAAGACUCUUUUUUUGCAGAAAAGCUUGCUACCAGUUGAUCCUUAAGCCAAGUUUUAUUUCACUAGUUAGGUUAUUACCUAAAUCUAUAUUUGCCUGGUCUAGUUCAAGCACUUGGCCUAUACUAGUUGCAUUUUAUUCAUUCUCAUAUUUCACUUGCUAACUACGAUGAUGGUCACCAGGAUGAGUCUCCAUAACCGAGGAGCAACGACGAUUCGAACCGAUUAUACCCAGCUGGGGAUCUCUAACCACACGACAUAUGUAGCACUUAACCCUUGCAUAUGUCAACCGUUCCCACGGAGUCCUCCACUACAUGAACAGGUCCACGCCACCUGAGAGCACAUUACCUACCAGGCGUGCGCUGUGCCAGGAGGGUACAUGCUACUCUCGCCAUCUCUCCACUCCUAGUGCAUGAUUGUCUCUUCACGUAUGGAAUAGUCGGGUUCAAGCUUACCCUGUCCCAUACCAGGGUAUGUGGCUAGUUGCAAAGUCUCAACCACAACAGGCCAGUCAACGGUACGGUCCUUAAUCAACACAGACGGGCGACCAUGUCAGCUCAGCGUCUGGUCUCGAUUUAUUCAAACCAUUUCCCCAUUUUUGGUACCCGGCAGGGGUACUCUUUUCGAAUGAUGAACCCAUCCGGAGCCUUGAUGGACUCAUCAUCAUAAGUUUUCUUUCACUUUUGAAUCAAAAGCCCAUAACCAAUGUUACACAUUAUUCUUUUGAAAAACAAAUGAUUUUUGAGUUUCUAAGCAGGACUAAGCAGUAAUAAUUCUUUUUAUGAAACAGGGAUUUAGGAAUUUUCAAGGAAUGAUAAUGCAUCAAUUGUUUAUCACAUAACUCCUAUCACCUAAUGCAUCAUAUCAGGUGAUAAAGCAUUUAAAACGCAAGGAAGGGGCAAAUGCACCGGGGCUUGCCUUAUUACAGUAGGAAAUCUGAGAUCUUCUAUUACGAUAAGCAGUUAGAUGGAAUCCACCACUGGAUCAGCAGAACUAGAACAGGCUCCUUCUUCACAAAUCACUUCUUCUUGGUACUCUAUAUGAAAUGUCAUGAUUAUGAAUGCCUGUGUCUAUGCUACUAGCAAGGAAGGUAUUACGAAGCAUUACGAAAUUACAAUUACAAGCUAUCACCAAAAGCCAUAACUACCAGGGAGCUACUUAUCCUUAGAACUCAUCUAACCAUCCAAAACAUGCUAAACAACUUCAUUUUACACGAACACAUUAGAUGCCCAUUUUUCUCGGACUUUCUCCCACAUUUACGUAUAUAUCCGAACCAUACCUGCUCUAACACGCGGAAAGCCGAUGAAGCGAGAGAACCACAUGGAGAAAGUAUGCCGAGCAUGACGGCCUGCUGGGCAUGAGGAACUGCAUGAGAAGACGACACUAAUAAAUACUAAGUACACGGCCGACAAUUCCAAACAUAUAAAAAUCGACGACGUACCAGCGAGACAGGCAGCUAGCAGCUUUACGAUGACACCGCGAGCACGACGAGGUCGGAAGAGAGGCUGUGGGUCAAGGAAAUCAACGACGCGAAGGAGCUGCGAGGUUGAGCGUGGCCGAUGAGGAGACAACAACCAUGAGCAUGUUGCAGCUCACAGCAUGAUGGGGAACUGCGGCAAGCACAACAAGCAAGGCUGCACGACGAGCGUCGGCACGGCGUGGAAGCUGCAGGACGACGUCAGCCCUCACCAACGAGGUCGGCGGAUGGCAAAGCGUGGAGUUGGAAGACGGUACCAGGCCGGCGAGCUGGAACGUGUGCGAUGGAGCAGCGACAGAUGGUCGGUCGAGCGCGUGAGGAAGCAGCUCAAGGCAUGGAAGAGCAGCAACAGCGCCCAAGCCAGCGUGAGAAGGGAGCUCGCGUCCAGGCUCAGUAUCUGGGACUUGAGCACAGGGUACAAGGCGAAGGCGAGUGCUAUGCGCUAUGCGUGAGAGUUCAAUUGGAGCACGUUCACUGAAAGAAAUAUCUGAAGCCGAGAUAGAGAGAGAGACGUGAGAGAUUUCUAGAGAGUGUACGUGUGCACCGGAUAAAAGAGAGAACGUUGAGAGAUGCAACUAGAAUGGAUAGGAAGGAGCGCUUGAAUUAUCUAGACGAGAGAAAUGAUGUGGAGAUAAGGAAGAGAAUAAA